CCUUAUCAAAAACAUCAUCUCUACUUCUCAAUGGUAGAGUAAGGUCUAGUAGAUUCUAUUCUCCCCAUAUAUUCUAUGGUUCCCAGAUCCCACUUAUGAAAUUACAUCAGGUAAGUUGUUCUUAGACUCAUUUAUACAACAACAAGAGACAGAGUUAAAUGGGAUACCAUCUGGUAUCUAUGGAAUUAUUUGAGGUGUGAAAGAGUAGUUUCUUUUUAUAAUUACAUCAAGUAAGUUGUUCUUAGACUCAUUUAUACAAGAAGAAGUUCUUAGACUCAUUUAUACAACAACAGUCUUCACAGACAGAGUUAAAUGGGAUACCAUCUGGUAUCUAUGGAAUUAUUUGAGGUGGGAAAGAGUAGUUUCUUUUGGGAUAAAAGAGGACCAACCAGUUGAUUAAGGUAUCAAAAAUUUGCAUUAAUCAUUUCAAUUAGUGGAUAAAUAACAAUUUCAGCUGAUCAGCUUAUUAAAUGUGAUAUUUUUUUUCAUAGUGACAUCAAUAUAUUUGGAAGUUAAUUCAAUGAAGUCUAUAUCAGGAAAAACAAAU
RNAcentral lists this long non-coding RNA (547 nucleotides) under Capsicum annuum. Its description in RNAcentral is "long non-coding RNA (CANN_LNC011853)". Lineage: Eukaryota; Viridiplantae; Streptophyta; Magnoliopsida; Solanales; Solanaceae. The record is from RNAcentral.